RNAcentral lists this long non-coding RNA (534 nucleotides) under Setaria viridis. RNAcentral's name for it is "long non-coding RNA (SVIR_LNC007838)". The record is from RNAcentral. Lineage: Eukaryota; Viridiplantae; Streptophyta; Magnoliopsida; Poales; Poaceae.
UACAAAUCGAUCUUAGCGCGUAUUAUAUAUACAAAUCAAACUAUAUAUCUACAAUCUUCCCGUCGAGGUGUUUCUCGGAGCAUCUAAAUGUCAUCCAUUGUAAUAAAAUUCUCCUUAUGGAUUUACCACCUCGUCCAUAAGGAAUCCAAUGAGACCUUCACAUAUUGCUGCUACUCUUUCUUUCUUCAAGAGUCCUUGUUGAAUAUUUAACAUCUAUAAUUUGGAAAUAUGUGAAUGUUACACGAACAAUUAAAUAUAAGGAGCUAGAAAAUAAUUAACUAGUUUUAUUUUACGUACUUUAAAGUUGUGCGGCAUCAUCUUUACUCCCUUGGGUCCCACAAAACUGUGCAUAUGCUCACAGAUGUAGUAGCCAUAUAGAUUAUUCCCGAGUUCCUAUCUUAAGCACUUGAGUGCGGAAAAAAAUAAGUUAUGAAAUAUUCGUGUUAUACAAUGUACUAAAUGUGUAGACUUGAUACGUACCGGGAAGUCUGUGUUCCAUGUAAGUUUUUCUUUGAAUGGACCUUUGUGUGUCCU